Non-coding RNA from Cyanistes caeruleus (blue tit), 2715 nucleotides. The record is from RefSeq and is a predicted model, not a curated record. Lineage: Eukaryota; Metazoa; Chordata; Aves; Passeriformes; Paridae.
GCCUGUCGCCAUCCACUGUCAGCAGGACUGGAGCCUCUAUCCUCACUGGGAUCGCCCAGAGACUCUGUCUCAGGCUCAAAGGUCUAGGGGUGUCUUCCCUCUCAAGUCCUGCCCAGGUCAUGGCAACCAGCUUGCUGGACUGGGAUUGGCGCACCCAGUCUCCCCAGGUCCCCGCUGCCUCCACAGUGGGGUCCUCCAGAUGUUCCCUGAGAGUGGCUCGUUGUCCAGGGCUGUCUUUGCUCCCAGGUGGUAAUAUGAUUUUAAUAUGCACCCGUGUGCAAGUCUUUAUGGGAAAUGGGGAAGUUCAUCCUGGGCAGCAGCGGCUAAAUUGCCUGACGGGUUGGAAGAGAAUAAGGGAUGGGGAUACAAAUGCAAGGAUAAAACAAGCAGCAUUCAGAGGUGUUGAACUUCCCACAGAUUUCCCCCUCAUCAGCGAGAAGGUAAUCUACUGCCAGUCGGAGUUGGUACACCAGGUACAUCAGGUCUGGGAGAGGUGGUCACUUAUAUGAUCAAGAGCCAGGGCUGUUUUGUUUGAUGUUAUUUCAAUUACAGCUUGGAGCCUGAUUAUUCUGUUUAACAUGUAUAUUGGGGUCCUAUAUCCCCAGGACCCAUCCUGGGCCCAGGUCGCUGGCCCAUAAGUUCUUAUUAUUUCCUCCAGGGUCCAGACUGUUCCUUUCCAAUUCUGGGUCCCUCCUGUGCUUAUUACACUUCUCUUCUUCCUUUUUAGGGGCCUCUUUAGGUUGUCAUAUAGUGGUACUCCAAGCUCUGAGCCAGCCUCUUUUGGGAGCAGGAAGAAAGCUGGCUUUAUCACCCCAAUCGUGCAGCUACCUGACCAGUCUCCUGGUAGAUGUGUAUAAGCUGCAUCCUCGCAGAUCCAAAAGAAAUCAUCUGGGGCUUCCCAAAAACCCUCCCUGUCUUCAUAGGGGUACUCCCAAUGCUUUGAUAGGCUUCUAAUUCCCCAGAAGGGAUUGAUCCCUUUUUCUGCACAUUCAUAAAGGUUAUAUCCUUUGUGAUGAAUGCACCCUUUUUCCCUCUUCUCUAAGGAUCAAUAUCUUAGGUUGGGCUCCUGGGGGAACCCAUUUAGUUCCUAGAUUCUUCGUUAUAUCUUUUGCAUGCCAUCCGCCCCACCAGGGUUCUAUAUCUUUUUCCAGUUUGUAGAAUACAGUCUUCCCCAAUUACCUUAGCCUUUAAUUCCCAUUUUUCUCUUCUCCUAUACCCUGGUGUGCUUUGGCCUUCCCCAGUUCAUUUUAUGCUUAGAAUUUCUCGAGGUUUCAAGCUAAUUCCCUCCCAGGGCCAAAUAUCAGACAUUUUAGUACUCCCACAUACCCAACAAUCAGUUAUAUUUAAUUCCUUGCUGAUGUUUUCAACUGAAUCAAUGAACAAGUUCUUCCCACUCAAAUUUUCCCAUUCUUCAUUUCCCACGCUCAUGUCCACUCUUUUCUCCUUUACCACAUCAGGUUCACCUUUUACUGGUUCGUUCUUUUCAAAGCACAGCCAAGUAUCCCUCAUGGGACAGUCUCCCAAAAGACGUUCUCUAAAAGUGGCCGUAUUUCUGGUAAUCCAAUAUGUUUUUCCGUUUUCUUGGCAUUCUUCUAAUUGUGAUUUGUUAUAACAAGAAGGACUCAAAUUUGUGUGGACCCUUACCAGGGACCCUAGAUUUUCCCCAUCAUACAAGGGAUAAUAACGUUUCAUGCAAGAGUCUGUCCCCAUGGCAUUGGUGAGGUGCAUUGCUAUCACCAGACCUACCAUGAGCCUUGUGAUGAUCCUUUUAGGCUCCCUCCUGUCCGUGACUCCCAAGAGUCCAGCAGGAACCAUGUUUGAUCUCCCCUGGUCUUGCCUCUUGGGGUUUUCCUCACACUUUUUUGGGGGUCUGGGUCCAAGGCUUACAGCUUUAUUAUUUUUUUGUCCUUCUCCUUUUUACUGUUGUCGGUUUUGGUCUUGGGAAAAGCUGCCCAGGGAGGAAUAUAGUCUUGGCUAGGAAAUUGGAGCCUUAUUCGGGGGGGAGGGGUUCUUUUACUUUUUCAUAAUAAUAAUAAUAAUAAUAAUAAUAAUAAUAAUAAUAAUAGUUACAAGUUAACCACAACUGGAAAACACCUUAACAUUAGUUCACAGACUUUAAAGAAACACUUAACCACAAAUGUUGCAGCCAAGAGAUCACUUAACAACAUCUGUUAUAAUUCCAGUUCCUGAUUGGGGACUUUAGUCUCUGGGUUUCCUCCUUAAGGUUAUUUUCGAGUCCUUGGUGUUGGGGACAACAGUCCAGUUAGAGGGAUCUUUUUCAGAGUUUACUUCCCCAUCUGGUGGUGCCACUGGUCCUUUAACUCGAGUCACGUGUGUCCACCCUUUUUCCCGGGUUCUCACAGCCGUAUGUGUGGUGAGUUGAACUUGGUAGGGUCCUUCAAACUUUGGAGUGAGAGGAGAGUUAGCCCAAGAUUUUACCAAUACCCAAUCCCCAGGGUUGAUAUGGUGUGUGUCUACCUCAAAGGGAGGAGUUUGAGGGAGAUACCCUUUUUUCCUGAGGUUUUCUAAAGUUUUAACAACAGUUUCCAAAUACCUCCUUGAGGUUUCUUCCCCUUCAGUAUACUGGGCAGUGCUGUAAGGAGUAAUUAGGAAGGGGAGUCCAAAUAACAUUUCAUAAGGGGAUACCCCUAAAUCUGCUCGAGGUCGGGUUCUUAUCUGUAAUAAAGCCAAAGGGAAACAUUUUAUCCAAUCUAA